RNAcentral lists this ribosomal RNA (453 nucleotides) under uncultured Pseudomonas sp. RNAcentral's name for it is "bacterial SSU rRNA". It matches the Rfam family "Bacterial small subunit ribosomal RNA", at positions 930 to 1382 of the family's 1533-position model. The record is from RNAcentral. Lineage: Bacteria; Pseudomonadati; Pseudomonadota; Gammaproteobacteria; Pseudomonadales; Pseudomonadaceae.
CGGUGGAGCGAUGUGGUUUAAUUCGUAAGCAACGCGAAGAACCUUACCAGGCCUUGACAUGCAGAGAACUUUCCAGAGAUGGAUUGGUGCCUUCGGGAACUCUGACACAGGUGCUGCAUGGCUGUCGUCAGCUCGUGUCGUGAGAUGCUGGGUUAAGUCCGUAACGAGCGCAACCCUUGUCCUUAGUUACCAGCACGUUAUGGUGGGCACUCUAAGGAGACUGCCGGUGACAACCGGAGGAAGGUGGGGAUGACGUCAAGUCAUCAUGGCCCUUACGGCCUGGGCUACACACGUGCUACAAUGGUCGGUACAAAGGGUUGCCAAGCCGCGAGGUGGAGCUAAUCCCAUAAAACCGAUCGUAGUCCGGAUCGCAGUCUGCAACUCGACUGCGUGAAGUCGGAAUCGCUAGUAAUCGUGAAUCAGAAUGUCACGGUGAAUACGUUCCCGGGCCUU